GACGAACGCUGGCGGCGUGCUUAACACAUCCAAGUCGAACGGAAAGGCCCUGCUUUUGUGGGGUGCUCGAGUGGCGAACGGGUGAGUAACACGUGAGUAACCUGCCCUUGACUUUGGGAUAACUUCAGGAAACUGGGGCUAAUACCGGAUAGGAGCUCCUGCUGCAUGGUGGGGGUUGGAAAGUUUCGGCGGUUGGGGAUGGACUCGCGGCUUAUCAGCUUGUUGGUGGGGUAGUGGCUUACCAAGGCUUUGACGGGUAGCCGGCCUGAGAGGGUGACCGGCCACAUUGGGACUGAGAUACGGACCAGACUCCUACGGGAGGCAGCAGUGGGGAAUAUUGCACAAUGGGCGGAAGCCUGAUGCAGCAACGCCGCGUGCGGGAUGACGGCCUUCGGGUUGUAAACCGCUUUCGCCUGUGACGAAGCGUGAGUGACGGUAAUGGGUAAAGAAGCACCGGCUAACUACGUG
This 468-nucleotide ribosomal RNA is filed under the name uncultured bacterium. RNAcentral describes it as "partial 16S ribosomal RNA". It matches the Rfam family "Bacterial small subunit ribosomal RNA", at positions 28 to 507 of the family's 1533-position model. The record is from RNAcentral.